This 439-nucleotide ribosomal RNA is filed under the name uncultured bacterium. RNAcentral describes it as "partial 16S ribosomal RNA". It matches the Rfam family "Bacterial small subunit ribosomal RNA", at positions 339 to 795 of the family's 1533-position model. The record is from RNAcentral.
CUACGGGCUGCUGCAGCGAGGAAUAUUGCACAAUGGGGGGAACCCUGAUGCAGCAACGCCGCGUGGAGGAUGACGCAUUUCGGUGUGUAAACUCCUUUUAUAUGUCAAGAAAAUGACGGUAGCAUAUGAAUAAGCACCGGCUAACUCCGUGCCAGCAGCCGCGGUAAUACGGAGGGUACAAGCGUUACUCGGAAUCACUGGGCGUAAAGGACGCGUAGGCGGGUUGGAAAGUCAGGUGUGAAAUCCUACAGCUUAACUGUAGAACUGCACUUGAAACUUCUAAUCUAGAGGAUGGGAGGGGGAGAUGGAAUUAGUGGUGUAGGGGUAAAAUCCGUAGAUAUCACUAGGAAUACCUAAAGCGAAGGCGAUCUCCUGGAACAUUACUGACGCUAAGGCGUGAAAGCGUGGGGAGCAAACAGGAUUAGAUACCCCCGUAGUC